Molecule: transfer RNA, 73 nt
Filed under: Petromyzon marinus (sea lamprey)
Lineage: Eukaryota; Metazoa; Chordata; Hyperoartia; Petromyzontiformes; Petromyzontidae
Description: tRNA-Arg (CCG) (tRNA-Arg-CCG-3-1)
Rfam family: tRNA
About the family: Transfer RNA (tRNA) molecules are approximately 80 nucleotides in length. Their secondary structure includes four short double-helical elements and three loops (D, anti-codon, and T loops). Further hydrogen bonds mediate the characteristic L-shaped molecular structure. tRNAs have two regions of fundamental functional importance: the anti-codon, which is responsible for specific mRNA codon recognition, and the 3' end, to which the tRNAs corresponding amino acid is attached (by aminoacyl-tRNA synthetases). tRNAs cope with the degeneracy of the genetic code in two manners: having more than one tRNA (with a specific anti-codon) for a particular amino acid; and 'wobble' base-pairing, i.e. permitting non-standard base-pairing at the 3rd anti-codon position.
Source: RNAcentral
GGCCCAGUGGCCAAAUGGAUAAGGCACCAGCUUCCGGAGCUGGAGGUUGUGGGUUCGAGUCCCAUCUGGGUCU